AAGCCUGGCAUGAAAAAGCUGUUCAUUUUACACUGAGACAGUAGCAGCCUCCCAGGCAGACUCGGGAGAUGCUGUCCUGAGAAGGAAUGGAGCAGUGAUACGAACACAGCCUUUGCAGGGGCUGAGCAGCAGAGGCACAUCUAGGCAGUGGGUGCAGUCCAGAAGAGGCCUUCUCUGCUAUCACUGCUGGAAAUUGUAAUAGACUCAACUGUUUUAAGAUUUUGGGGAAGGCUGUGACCUGAUUGUUCUCUGCCUCCACCUAAAAGGUACUUACUUUCUGUGUAUCCUGGAACACAGUCCUCUCUUGGCAUUUGGGAGAUAACUGGGGAGAGAAUUCUGUGUGAUAAACCUGGAGCAAGACUGAUUAUAUUUUUAAUUAAGCUUUCUUAUCAGACAGAUCAGCUAUUGCCUCUGUCCAUUUCUGGUGAAUGGCUUCCUUUGCUUUGCAGCCAGCAGUGUUUGAAAGCUCCUUUAACAACCAAAAAUGCCUAGAUCUUUGCACAAACAAACCAACAAAGCCGGUUUGUGUGAAGUCAAAUUCUCCACGGAGGUCUGCACACUCUGCCACUGAGAGGCGUGUAUGAAAGCUGCUUUGGAAUAGCUAAGCCCAUUUAAAUCCAUUAAAAGGCUUCACAAUUAAAUUUGCAUGCAGCCAGGGCCUGUUCCUUCUCUCCCCAGUAGCAGCGGGCCCAGCCGUCUGGAGAACAUCAGCUCCAUGUUUCAGUGCCUCAGCCUGUCACCUUGGCCUCCACCAGCCGACUUGAAAUAUGAAUUACCCGCUUUGAUGUCCCCAGUAUUUUUCAGAAAGCAUUUUAUGCAUUUAUCUGAGGACAUUAGAGUGCUGCUGCUCUCUGUAAGAGUGAACUGUUCUGCUAACCCUGUGAGAGCAGCUCUCUUUUUGCUUGGGCUUCCAGGGGAACAACCAGCUGGAAGGUGA
RNAcentral lists this long non-coding RNA (937 nucleotides) under Phasianus colchicus (ring-necked pheasant). RNAcentral's name for it is "lncRNA (ENSPCLG00000002110.1)". The record is from RNAcentral. Lineage: Eukaryota; Metazoa; Chordata; Aves; Galliformes; Phasianidae.